AGAGUUUGAUCCUGGCUCAGAACGAACGCUGGCGGCGUGCUUAACACAUGCAAGUCGAACGGGAUCCAGAGCUUGCUCUGGUGAGAGUGGCGCACGGGUGAGUAACGCGUGGAUAACCUGCCCUGGUAUCCGGAAUAACAUCUCGAAAGGGGUGCUAAUACCGGAUAAGCCUACGGAGCCUUCGGUCUCUGCAGGAAAAGGUGGCCUCUAUUUAUAAGCUACCGUAUCAGGAUGGGUCCGCGUACCAUUAGCUAGUUGGUGGGGUAAUGGCCUACCAAGGCGACGAUGGUUAGCUGGUCUGAGAGGAUGAUCAGCCACACUGGAACUGAGACACGGUCCAGACUCCCACGGGAGGCAGCAGUGGGGAAUUUUGCGCAAUGGGGGAAACCCUGACGCAGCAACGCCGCGUGAGUGAUGAAGGCUUUCGGGUCGUAAAGCUCUGUCAGAGGGGAAGAAAUGAGAUUGGCUAAUAUCCAAUUUUCUUGACGGUACCCUCAAAGGAAGCACCGGCUAACUCCGUGCCAGCCGCCGCGGUAAUUC
Molecule: ribosomal RNA, 540 nt
Filed under: uncultured bacterium
Lineage: Bacteria
Description: bacterial SSU rRNA
Rfam family: Bacterial small subunit ribosomal RNA
Source: RNAcentral